GUAUUAAAGGUGUUGCCUGCCCAGUGAAAUAUUUUCAACGGCCGCGGUAUCCUAACCGUGCAAAGGUAGCGUAAUCACUUGUCUUUUAAAUAAAGACUCGUAUGAAAGGCUAAAUGAGGACGAAACUGUCUCUUAUGGUUAACCAGUAAAACUGAUCUUCAAGUACAAAAGCUUGAAUAAACACAUAAGACGAGAAGACCCUGUGGAGCUUAAAACUGACACUAUCUCAACAAAUUAUAGCUAUAAGUUUUAAGUUGGGGCGACUUCGGAACAAAACAAAACUUCCGAGCACAGAGCCAAUCACUCUAACCCUAGACCCACAAGUCAAAGAACAACAAUUGACCCAGUCAUACUGAGCAACGAACCAAGUUACCCCAGGGAUAACAGCGCCAUCUUCUUCAAGAGUCCAUAUCGACAAGAAGGUUUACGACCUCGAUGUUGGAUCAGGACACCCAAAUGGUGCAGCAG
Molecule: ribosomal RNA, 468 nt
Filed under: Carlia schmeltzii
Lineage: Eukaryota; Metazoa; Chordata; Lepidosauria; Squamata; Scincidae
Description: partial 16S ribosomal RNA
Rfam family: Bacterial large subunit ribosomal RNA
Source: RNAcentral